CUGCUGCCUCCCGUAGGAGUUUGGGCCGUGUCUCAGUCCCAAUGUGGCCGUCCACCCUCUCAGGCCGGCUACUGAUCGUCGCCUUGGUGGGCCGUUACCCCGCCAACAAGCUAAUCAGACGCGGGUCCAUCUUACACCACCGGAGUUUUUCACACAAAUCCAUGCGGCUUCGUGCGCUUAUGCGGUAUUAGCACCUNUUUCUAAGUGUUAUCCCCCAGUGUAAGGCAGGUUACCCACGCGUUACUCACCCGUCCGCCACUAAG
Molecule: ribosomal RNA, 263 nt
Filed under: uncultured bacterium
Lineage: Bacteria
Description: partial 16S ribosomal RNA
Source: RNAcentral